This 1091-nucleotide long non-coding RNA is filed under the name Marmota monax (woodchuck). Lineage: Eukaryota; Metazoa; Chordata; Mammalia; Rodentia; Sciuridae. The record is from RNAcentral.
AAUCAGUCCAACAUUUUUGCCAACAAGUCAUAUUUUAUUAAGAGCAUCUUUUUCUGACAUUCAAAUAUCUUUAGAAAAGAAAGAUGAAAUACAGACAAGGUAGUAUUUACCUCUCCAGUGUUCUACUUAAGAUGGAGCUUUCUCCUCCCAGCAAUUUGCUCCUGCCUCAAUUGUGUCCCUGUUGUAAAUUUAGCCUGAGUUCAUCUGAUUUUAAAAUGGCGGGGGGGGGGGGGAAUCCCAGAUUAUACCUAUUUUCCCACUGGAAUAAGAGCCUUCCAUUUAAAUAUGGUUUGAUACCAACAAAGAAAUUUGAUAUCCUGUUAUGCAAGCUCUUACAAAUUUCUUUUUAUUGUAUUAUAUGAAACAGGUUAAAAAAUACUUGUAGUGAAUUGCAGGUGAGGAACCUGAGGCACAGAGAAGUGAAACUGUCUCUAACUAUGAAGGGAAUUGUAUAAAUAACUGGAGAUUCCACUGCAUUGCUUUUUCACUGAAUUCUGCAGUUGGAGACUAUUGCUGGACUGGAUUCCCAGGAAGAUUAAAAUCAAACAGAAAUGGUUCAGGCUUGCAAUAUCCACAUUUUAAUUUAUAUCUGCAUUCAUGCAUAGUGAUGUGCUGACCCAGAUGGUCUCCAGAAAAGUGUGUGGGCUGAAUGAAGUGUUGGUAUGCAAAUGUCACAGUAUGGCUAUGUCAGACUCAGAAAACUCAACAGCACAGAAAGGGAUAUUGUUUUUGUUUUCCAGCACAGGGGUGUGAUGGACUCAGAUGGGAUUGUGUUAUGUAUCUUCUAUCCUUUUUUUUUUUUUUAAAUCUUUAUCUGCCAAAAGUCCCAAAACUAAGUGUUGAAAGAAUUUUAGAUGUUCUACAGUUGGUUACAUGACUCUCGGGACCUCAACUAAUAAUUUGAUUGAUAGUCAUCUGGGAGAAGCCAAAGAGUUUAAAGACAUAAGGAAUCACCUGUAGCCACUGUGCUAAUGGAAGAAGUAUACAGACAUUCUUCCAUCUGUAUAGACAGUCCAGUUUCCCUACCUUUUGAGCAUAAUGAGCUGGGGUUUUCCUUUAGUAGUAUACAUAGUUCUGCCAGUGAUCUGCUG